This 253-nucleotide long non-coding RNA is filed under the name Vigna radiata. RNAcentral's name for it is "long non-coding RNA (VRAD_LNC016413)". Lineage: Eukaryota; Viridiplantae; Streptophyta; Magnoliopsida; Fabales; Fabaceae. The record is from RNAcentral.
CGCCAUGGAGAGGCAUGAACCAUUGUAUAAAUUCACCUCUUCCACCCUUUUGUAUCUAUUUUAAGUAUUUGAGUAAUGAAAUGUUGUAGAGAUCACUCCAACACGCAUUCUUCUCAUUGUCACCGACCAGAGAGAGAUCUCAACCUCCUAUAGCCACCCUUCCUUAGUUAGGACUCCUACCUAGGCUUCGAAAAUCACUACCACACACCAAACACUUUCACGGAGAAUCCUUCUUCACUUCAAAUGAACUAUU